RNAcentral lists this transfer RNA (91 nucleotides) under Candidatus Wolfebacteria bacterium. RNAcentral describes it as "tRNA-Ser". It matches the Rfam family "tRNA". From Rfam's summary of the family: Transfer RNA (tRNA) molecules are approximately 80 nucleotides in length. Their secondary structure includes four short double-helical elements and three loops (D, anti-codon, and T loops). Lineage: Bacteria; Candidatus Wolfeibacteriota. The record is from RNAcentral.
GGAGGAGUGAGCCGAAUGGUAAGGCAGCGGCCUGCUAAGCCGCGCCCUGCGAAAGCGGGGCUUGUGGGUUCGAUUCCCACCUCCUCCGCUA